UGGUUUAUGGGAAAAUUAUAAGAACAUGCGUUUCCCUCGCCUGCUUCCUAUCACUCCCACAGUGGAGCCUUAGCAGAUUCUCAGCCUUAGCAACAAAAUCAAUAACAGGCUAACGUAAUUACUCUGCAGAGAGGGCAGACUGUGUCAGCUAUUACUUUAUUAAGGGAGAAGAACACGUGUGAAAGGACAGCAUCCUGCAAGGACGGAAGAAUUGGGAGAAUGCAGGAAAGAGGGCAAGGCAGAUCAUAAAUAUGCUGAAUUGAAGGAAUUAGGAUCACACCCUGAAAUGGCAGGAAAAUGAAUGUUUGCUUUUUCUGGUUUAUUAUUUGCUCAGUGAUACUUUAGCAUUUCAAAAUGACAAACACCUUGGCUGUGGUUCUAUCAGUCUCUUUGCUUUAUUUAAUUUUAUAAAGAAGAAUGCUCAGGUGUUAAAAUAUUUGUUCUCUUUUCACUCGCAAUUUUCUUCAUUUUCUUCACAAAAUGGAAUGACCCUCCAAGGAGUAUUUGAGAGUUUCCCCAACAUUGCAGUUGGCUUCUCUUAGAGAGAAAGUUUCAAGAGACUAAGGUGGAAGAUUAAGGUGCCAAUGCCUUUAGGAUCCAGCUUUAGAGGUCAAACACUGUCACUUCCACAGUCUGCUAUUUGUCACAUAGUUUUUAUAGUGGGCAGACCAGUCCAGUCCCACUUACUCCAUCAUGGAUACAAACAGAAAAAUUGCUCAAGAGAAGUACAGCUGAUUUUGGAAUAAGGUUCUGACAGGGAUUUUUCCUCAGGAUGCCUUAUAAAGAAGACACUAUGAAAUCAUAACUAACUUAUUUGUCAACGGAUAUCACAGAUCCACUCCUGUGACUUUGGUAGGCAUGGCUUUUAAUGCCCAUCCUGUGUUUGAUCAUUAGCCGAUUGAGGUUGACACUGUUUCGUCUUCUGCUGAGUGCUGACCAGGCAAAUAGCCAUCUAACAAAAACUGAUCUGUGGACGAUAACAUUAUGAAAAGACAGCACAUAUGUAAGAUUAAUGAUCAGCCACUCAAUGAGGGCAGGAGGUCUCUAAAAGGGAAUAUGAGAAUACAUGAUGUUUGGAAACCACAAAUUGGACCCUUUUGCAUGUGGAAACAUAUAUCAAUCUGAACUGUUUACUGUGACAUGGGAAGAUACUUUUGAGAAGGGCAGUAUGAGGUGAUGACGAGACAGUAGUUAAAAUAAAGAUACACGCACAAUACUUUCAUUAAUUCAGCCUAAGCACAGAGGCAUAAUUGACACAUCAGAGUCAAGGGGCUCAUCUCUUUGAUUGACAUAAUCAGAAAACCAGAAUAUAUUAAAAUAAUGAAAACUGGUCUUCCUUCAUGUAGAUAUUGAGUUCAAAGGAGGAAUUCUAUAUGAUCAGUAUUAGGGUGAAGCGGAACAUUUCAUUGAGAGUAGAAUAGUGUCAACAUAAGAACAUUCAAACCUGUAGAGAACUUUUAUAAGAGUAUGAGCAAAACAGGAUAAUGCUGGGAAACAAGAUCUCAAAUGCUCUGGAGAAUGACAAAUUUGAAGUUUAUUUUAUUCCUUUGGAAUUGAAAGUGGAAUGUGAGGAAGAUUAUGUAACAAGCUGGUUAGCAAGAUGAUGUGCUCCCUUAAGUGUGGUUACAUCUUCCACAGAUCUGGAAAAGAGGAUUACUUCUAGCAUUUCACAGGUGAAUUAACUGAGAUGCACAAAAACAAUCGACAGGGCUUGCUUAAAUCUUUUCCUAGAAGAGUUAUAGGUAUGGGGCAUGACUACCCACCAUGACCUGCUCAGUUAGGAAUUUAUGUUCAGGUUACCCUGUGAGUUACUUGCAGCCACUGGACUUGUCAGUUUAAUUACAGAAACUCCCUUCUUAUCCAUAAUAGAUAAACCAAUGGUGGUAUAUUCAUAUGAUGUCAUACCAUACAGUCACCCACUACAGUAUGGACAGAUCUCACAAGCACCAUGUUGAGUGAAAGAAAGAAGCCAGACGUGAAAGAACACCAAUUUUCAAAUUCCAUUUAUAUGAAGUCUCGAACUAAGUAAAGCUUAGCAAGCGUAUUAGAAAUUAGGAUCGUGGUUAACUUUGGGGAGAAAUGUGGGUGUUUUGACUGAUAAAAGAUAAAAGGAAUAUUUCUGGGGAUAUGGGUGCUAUUUUCUCUUGAGAUCUGGGUGGUGAUAACAUGGGUGUUUGCUUUGAGAAAUUCAUUGUGUGAUUUACUGAACUGCAUCAUUAUGAUUUGUGUACUUUUCUGUAUCUGUGUCAUUAAAAAACUAACAAAAAAACUUUAUGUUAGGUAUUGGCCAAAAAUAUUUAAAACUCAUUUUUUAAAAAUCAGAACAUUUUUUAAAAAUUAGAAAUAAUUUAUACAAUUAUCCUACAGACAAUGGGAAGCAAAUGUUAACUAUUUAACCAGAACUGUUAACUAGAACUGUUUCUUAAAAUAAAUUAUAAACAGAAUGUCAACUACAGAUAAUUUCUGGCCAUUAAUUGAGUAAUUUCAGAUUAAUUGUGUAAUUUAAUGUACUUUUAAGUGCUUUAAUGGGAAACCAGAUACAUUUCUCAUAGUAAAACAGUAAGAGAUUUAAGACCCUUUAUGAGAGAAAAUGUUUUAGUUUUUAUUUUCGUCUGUUCUCCAAGCUUAGAACAAUGCCUAGCACAUGACAGAUGUUUUGUAAAUAUCUGUGGAUGACUGGCUGAGAGAAAAAGUAAAAGUGUAUUCAACUGAAGUAAAUGCAUAUUUGAAGAGAAGAUGAUGAUCUUAGUAGGGUGUGGCCAACACUUUAACUUACUGUCUAUUAAAUGGAGUACUGCAAUUGUAAAUAAGUCUUACUGGAUAUUUGUCACUCUAGAUGCCUUGAAAACUGAGAUGAGGCAGAAAAAACAACACAAGCAAAGGCAAGGCUAUAGGACAGCUAGAUGUAUGUGGGGAAGAGUGGACAAGGAGUUCCUUUUUGGCUAAAGGAUGGAGGCAGCAGGGAGAUUAUAAUGGAUGAUGGUGGAAAUCAUGGAAUUUGGAGAAGACAAAUAGGUGAUAUUGAACAUCAAAAUAUGACUUUAUGGUUUUGUUUGAACUCACCCAUCCUUGCCUUCAAAGUUCCACUUCCCAAUACCACGGUGAAGGCCAGUAGAGGCCAAUGAAAUGACCUGGCUCAACGAAAGUGUCUGCACAAUUUUUCUCAAACUGGAAAGGUUUUCUCUGAAAUGUAUUUCAGUAUCUAGAGAACAUCAAAAUAGCUGAAAAAUAAAAAGUAUCUGAUUGCUGUUAUAUGCUA
Molecule: long non-coding RNA, 3259 nt
Organism: Pteropus alecto (black flying fox)
Lineage: Eukaryota; Metazoa; Chordata; Mammalia; Chiroptera; Pteropodidae
Exons: 4
Source: RefSeq, a predicted model, not a curated record